GACAGGCGUCUAACACACACACACACACACACACACACACACACACACACACAGCCACCAGGCCUCCCUGUGCUGCAGUUCGGUCAUUCAACCCUUUGAGUAGCCGAGUACUGGUACAGAUAUUUGAUUCCUCCUGAUGUAGCUUUUCAUUUGCCGUAUUGUAGAAUGUAGCACGAGGACACUAAAAUGAGCAGAGGUGAAUUUUAUGCUCGGGAAUAUUCCUGUUUUAUAGGAGCAAUUAUGAGUAAUGAUGAAACAAAUAAAUCAGACGAUGCACAAGCAGCUUCUGAUCCGAUCCUCUGCAACCUUUGAAUGAGCUCAGGGACGACGUGGGGAAAGAAAUCAGGGCGCUGGAGGGAAUUGCGAGCCAGUACAUGUUACGAAUUUAGAAAUCAUGAAAGCAGUAAAAAGAAACUCAACAAUUCUCCUUUUGGGGUCUCUAGAGAAGCGCUGGCUUUAGCUGCUCCCCGUGCCACAUGGCCCCAUCCAGGGGCCCCAACACACCCAGGAGAUGCUACGUGCUGUGUCUCUUGGGGGUUUAUUGAAAACUUCGACCCACACAUCGCCAACAUCACAUUAAUACGUCUAUCGGCGCUGAGGAGGCAGCGAGGGAUGAAACCAUUACCCGCCGGUGAAGACAAAGCGGCGGGGCAGAUAUGAGCCUGGAGAAGUCCUGGAGAAGUCCUGGAGAAGAAGCAGCCGGUGUUUUUGAAGGUGAUUCAAACCAGAAGCCCCCCGUUCAGAAGCUUGUUUUCUUGUGCUGUGCGGCAGAGCAGAUGGGAGGCCUAUCAGAAGCAUUCCGUGGGGACGUUCUUUUUAAUGCUUGUAUGUGGCUGCUAAUGAGGAUCAAGAGGUCUACGUUCAAAUUAAAAACAAUAAUACAGUGUUUCUUUAAAGGCCACAACCCUGGAGGAGUUCCUGAGAGCCGUCCUGCACAGCGCAGCACGUCACGGCCUUCCAUGCAGUAUUUCAUGUCCCCGUCUGCCCCCUGCAGGCCCUGCUGCUGUGAUUUAGAGCCAGAUGAGAGAGGAGGACGCAGGAGGCCCUGGAUGAAGGAAUGCUUCCACCCUUCCUGAUGUUAACUGCCCCACUGGGAGGAACACCAGCAGGGACCUCUAAGGAUGCGACACUGCAGAGCUUUCACUCAAAACCCCCACGUCAGGUCAUACUUUUUAGAGGUGCUCUAAAUCAGUGGCGCACAACCUCCGAGUCAUUCGUGUGCAAAAUAUAAAAAAUGUUUUGAAUUUGGAAAAAUGGCGGCAUCCUCUCCCAAUUACAUGUGCUUGGUCCUGUUUUUGGUCUGACGCUUUACUGCUUGGUUGUACAAUGUUUUCAUUAUAAUCCUACAAACAACGUAACAGCUUUUGCCUGGUCAGCGUCAGCCAGAACUAUUGCUGUUUGCUUGGGGGUUCAAAUACUUAUUUUCUGCAUCAAAUGCAAAUAAAGUCAGAAAUGUUAUAAAAUGCAUAUUUCUGGAUUUUUUUGUUGAUAUCCUGUUUCUCACUGUUAAAAUACACCUACCAUUAUAAUUAUAGAUCACACAUUUCUUUGUGAUCAAAGUGACCAAACUUGAAAUACUUAUUUUCCCCACUGUUUAACUAAUAUAAGUUAAUUUAGUAAACGCCCAAAUUAUUUCCUAUCAAUUUAUGCAUUUACAGGUGUCUCUGUAAUGGACUCCUUUGAGCCCACUAUUGUGGCAGAGCACGAGGCUUCAAGUGCCCCCACUGGCUUGGGAAAAAUGAAAAGCCCCGCCUUCAAAAUAAAAGCAUCGAAUUCUACACAUAAAAUGCCCAACGAAAUCAAGAAACAACCAAAAACAUCUAAUAAAGGCAAAACAUUCAUCAAUACACACAAACUGGGUUAGUAACAACCAUAUUGGUAAAUAAAUCCAAGCAUGAAGUUAAAUCAAUAAAUGAAACAAAAUAUAAUUUUAUUUUCAACUGACAUUUGUGUAUAAAUAAAAAAUUGGUGGAUUGAAACAAAUAUGGCAUAUAGCUAUAGUAUGUUAGCAAACAGAUGUAAUGCCACAUACACAGUGAUUUGGUGCCAUGUAACUCUCUCAUUAAUAGUCCACUAUUCACUCUUUUAGCUCUGUUUUAGUCCCCACCAGCUGCCGAGGGAAAUACAGCAGCUCCAUCCUCCACUACUGUAUGUUUACUAGGUAUAGAUAGAUAUAUCUUACUUUUUAUUCAGGGAUUGGGACAAUAUAACGGACAAAACCACAAGGAAACAAUGGGAGAGAUAAUUCCCUUGAGGUUGUCGCUUGUCCCCGUUCACACUGAACUUAAAAGCACAGAUUAGUGCGGUUUUCAGUGAGACUUUUGUUCCAGGAUGCAGAACAAAUCUGGCUUAGCCUGAAAGCUCUUUUCCAAAGCGGAUACUUGCUUGUAACACGGUGCUUUUGUGUUGAAGGAACAUCCAUAAAACACUGUGAUGGAACACGGGAGGAAUGCGUCAGAUGAUCAGAUCGCCCCUUCAGGGCGGUGAUGGAUGGGAAGCAUCUUUCAAGGCGAUCAAAGGCGUGGCACGAGUCUGGCCUUGGUUUACCAGAAGGAGCUGGUCAGGUGACGGGCCCCCGGAUCAAAGUGUCAGGAAUUCACGUUUCCACAGGAACACAUCUGUGUUGAGCCCCAUAAGGGCGCUGAACUAAUGCAGGAGGGUCUCCGCUGACCUCUUCACCAAAUUCCUGUCAAUCAGGGCGACUUAUGAUCCCAAGAGGCUUUCUGCUAUUAGUGACGUGGUUAAUUGUUUUCUUCCUGUCUUCAUACAAGAUCAUUACUGCCCCAAAGGAACCUUAUUUUCUUAUUGUCUCAAGACCAAACAAAUCCAUGUUUGAAUUCAUAAAGCAGCAGUUGUUUUCUUUGAUACUAUGAAGCAUCUGUGUGUUGUUCUACCCUGAAGGCGUGAAGCCAGAUUUAUCUGAUUUAAAAUCAGGUUGGACUUGGACAAACGUCCUGAAUGUGUUUUUGUGCCCUGCGUUGCCGGUUGACACCGACUGUUUAGCCGAGAGCUAAAGAAGCACAAUUGACUCAAACCACGAAAUGAACGGAAGUUCAGUCCACGCGCGGCAGACAAAACCAAGAACACAUUUUUACAGAAUUGGUUAACUUCUAAAGACGAUGUCCAGAUCCCUGAGUGACUCAGAGGAGACAUGUCAGAGGUUAACGUGAUAAUUCAAAGACCCUGGAACAUAUUUAGCACAGACUGGAGAACAAGGAGAGGGUAGAAAUAGACACUAGGGUAUUGCUUCGUUCAUUUUGGGUGUUUUACACUCACGUUCUCAUUCCUCUGCAAUAUUUGUAACUUAUUUUGACUUUUUAAAUUGUCUUUAUCUGUGUCCAUGUAUUACACACAAGCACAGUCACACAAUGAAUCUACAUUUCAAGGUAAAACACAGCAGUCAGGUUCUGAUCUGCUGUGUUUGGUUUGAUUAAACACUGUGUAGUAUUUAGCGUAUUGGCAGCAAUGGAAUAUAGUUCAGAUAACUGUAUUGUAAUUACUGGAUAAUCACCAAGAGAGCCCUUCUGAGCAGGUCCCACUCACUCAGCGACACACCAAACCCUGACCCUGUUUGGAAACCCCCCUGAAGGCCACCGUAGUUCUCCACAAUGCUCACAUGCUGACGGGUCUUCAGCUGGAUGCAAUAUGGGGGAUUAUGUGGCUCCGGCUGUGCAAAUGCUUCAUAUGCUAGUUUCCACCUAGCUGGCGUUUUUGCAAUGGUCCCGGAUGCAAAUUAAAACAGAAUCACCAGUAAAAGAGAUGUUAUAAAGCUCCUUAUGGUUAAGGGAACUGCAGAUCUGAGGAGAACUCUCUGACCCAUCGUAGUCUUACUAACCAUUGGUGUCAAUCUACAAUCUACAAAUCAGGAUUUGUGCGGCUUUGCCAUAUAUUCAUAUAAAUAAACAGUCAUACCGUAUGGUUACAGAGAGGAGUCGUUCGUGUUUUGACAACGUUUUAUAACGUAUCAUAAUUCCGACUUUCUAUCCCCUUUCUUCAGUGCGGAAAUGGGCUUCUAUAGUUGUGUGAACGCAUCACUCCAGCCAAUCCACAGACGGGGUUUGUGACCAAUCAGGUGUAGAGACCACGGUGACUGGCAUCAAUCAACUUUUACAUCCCGUUUGUUAGCGACACACAUCAGCCCUGCAGCACUGGCUCAGUUGCCUGUUGGCGUUUGCGCUGUCCCCAGCUGAGGUUCAACACCCCCCCUCGGCCCCUCGGUCAGUAGCCCUAAAUGGAGCGCCGUUAUGUCAAAUGAGCUAUGACGGCCGGCCCGAGAACACAUGCUCAGCCCCAAGAAGGAAACACCGUGUGCAUCCCCGGAGAAAAUGUAGAGCUAUUUGCAAGAGGGGUCAAAGGUCAGCCCAGAGCGACCCCACUUUGUGUUUGUUCAGCGGGUCCCCACCUGGAUGUGUUUCUAAUCGAGGACCAGGCGUUUAUGUGCUACAGUAGGGGGACGUUGUUUGAUUAACAGGUGGGGAGGAACAAGGUCGACGGGUCGGUUCAGUGUGUUUGUCUGUCCGUCCCCUGUUGUUUUCUUUAUCUGCAGCUCUUUCUUUGCCUUUUAACAAGUCUGUCUUUUUCUGUCUUUGUGUCUCCCCCCUGCUGUGCGGAGGUCCCUCGUCCCGGUUAAUUGCUUCUUGGCAGCAGAAAGAGGAACAAAGAUAGUUGUUGUAGCCUCAGUAGGGAGGCGUCUCCUUCUGAGCCUUUUCAUUGCUGCUUCUUUAAAAAACCCAGAAACACUCAGUAUCAGAAGCUAUUUAUUCCCAAGUAUGUUACACAAACAGUCCUUUGUCCUGGUGAUUGGUGCGAUAUAAGAAUAAAGUGAAAUUAAAUAUACCAGCGAAAAUGAACGAUAUAAAGAAAUGAAAGGAUGAGUACUUCAAAACGUGCAUGUGUGUAAAUAAGAUUCUUUAGUGACU
This is a long non-coding RNA of Gasterosteus aculeatus aculeatus (three-spined stickleback), 4919 nucleotides long. The record is from Ensembl. NCBI's taxonomy places the organism in Eukaryota, Metazoa, Chordata, Actinopteri, Perciformes, Gasterosteidae.